GUGGGGAAUUUUGGACAAUGGGCGCAAGCCUGAUCCAGCAAUGCCGCGUGCAGGAAGAAGGCCUUCGGGUUGUAAACUGCUUUUGUACGGAACGAAACGGUCCUGGUUAAUACCCGGGGCUAAUGACGGUACCGUAAGAAUAAGCACCGGCUAACUACGUGCCAGCAGCCGCGGUAAUACGUAGGGUGCAAGCGUUAAUCGGAAUUACUUGGCGUAAAGCGUGCGCAGGCGGUUUUGUAAGACAGGCGUGAAAUCCCCGGGCUCAACCUGGGAAUGGCGCUUGUGACUGCAAAGCUGGAGUGCGGCAGAGGGGGAUGGAAUUCCGCGUGUAGCAGUGAAAUGCGUAGAUAUGCGGAGGAACACCGAUGGCGAAGGCAAUCCCCUGGGCCUGCACUGACGCUCAUGCACGAAAGCGUGGGGAGCAAACAGGAUUAGAAACCCUAGUAGUCC
Molecule: ribosomal RNA, 450 nt
Filed under: uncultured bacterium
Lineage: Bacteria
Description: partial 16S ribosomal RNA
Rfam family: Bacterial small subunit ribosomal RNA
Source: RNAcentral